RNAcentral lists this ribosomal RNA (294 nucleotides) under uncultured bacterium. RNAcentral describes it as "partial 16S ribosomal RNA". It matches the Rfam family "Bacterial small subunit ribosomal RNA", at positions 10 to 332 of the family's 1533-position model. The record is from RNAcentral.
AGUUUGAUCCUGGCUCAAAACGAACGCUGGCGGCAGGCCUAACACAUGCAAGUCGAGCGCUACCUUCGGGUGGAGCGGCGGACGGGUUAGUAACGCGUGGGAAUAUACCCUUCACUAUGGAAUAGCCUCGGGAAACUGAGAGUAAUACCAUAUACGCCCUUCGGGGGAAAGAUUUAUCGGUGAAGGAUUAACCCGCAUAAGAUUAGCUAGUUGGUAGGGUAAUGGCCUACCAAGGCGACAAUCGGUAGCUGGUCUGAGAGGAUGAUCAUCCACCCUGGGACUGAGAAAAGGCCC